RNAcentral lists this transfer RNA (36 nucleotides) under Bleda syndactylus (Common bristlebill). RNAcentral's name for it is "partial tRNA-Phe". The record is from RNAcentral. Lineage: Eukaryota; Metazoa; Chordata; Aves; Passeriformes; Pycnonotidae.
GAUGUCAAGACGGUCGUUAACAUACACCCAAGGACA